AUGCCAGUGAUUGGCUUAGGAAUGGCCACGGG
RNAcentral lists this non-coding RNA (32 nucleotides) under Homo sapiens (human). The record is from RNAcentral. Lineage: Eukaryota; Metazoa; Chordata; Mammalia; Primates; Hominidae.